AAUGAACGCUGGCGGCAUGCCUAACACAUGCAAGUCGAACGAAGGCUUCGGCCUUAGUGGCGCACGGGUGCGUAACGCGUGGGAAUCUGCCCCUUGGUUCGGAAUAACAGCGAGAAAUUGCUGCUAAUACCGGAUAAUGACGUAAGUCCAAAGAUUUAUCGCCUAGGGAUGAGCCCGCGUAGGAUUAGCUAGUUGGUGUGGUAAAGGCGCACCAAGGCGACGAUCCUAGCUGGUCUGAGAGGAUGAUCAGCCACACUGGGACUGAGACACGGCCCAGACUCCUACGGGAGGCAGCAGUGGGGAAUAUUGGACAAUGGGCGAAAGCCUGAUCCAGCAAUGCCGCGUGAGUGAUGAAGGCCUUAGGGUUGU
RNAcentral lists this ribosomal RNA (369 nucleotides) under uncultured bacterium. RNAcentral describes it as "bacterial SSU rRNA". It matches the Rfam family "Bacterial small subunit ribosomal RNA", at positions 29 to 426 of the family's 1533-position model. The record is from RNAcentral.